Molecule: ribosomal RNA, 719 nt
Filed under: uncultured Planctomycetota bacterium
Lineage: Bacteria; Pseudomonadati; Planctomycetota
Description: bacterial SSU rRNA
Rfam family: Bacterial small subunit ribosomal RNA
Source: RNAcentral
GAGCACGUAGGUGGGUUUGUAAGUCAGACGUGAAAGCCUUCUGUUCAACGGAAGAAUUGCAUCUGAAACUGCGAGUCUUGAGUAUAGGAGGGGAGAAUGGAACUUCUGGUGGAGCGGUGAAAUGCGUAGAUAUCAGAAGGAACGCCGGCGGCGAAAGCGAUUCUCUGGCCUAUUACUGACACUCAGUGUGCGAAAGCUAGGGGAGCAAACGGGAUUAGAUACCCCGGUAGUCCUAGCCGUAAACGAUGGGCACUAAGUAGAGGGAAUUACCGAUAUUCUCUCUGCCGUAGCUAACGCAUUAAGUGCCCCGCCUGGGGAGUACGGCCGCAAGGCUAAAACUCAAAAGAAUUGACGGGGGCUCGCACAAGCGGUGGAGCAUGUGGCUUAAUUCGAUGCAACGCGAAAAACCUUACCGGGGCUUGACAUGGUAGAAGUAGGAACCCGAAAGGGUAACGAACGGUAUCCAGUCCGUAGCUAUUACAGGUGUUGCAUGGCUGUCGUCAGCUCGUGUCGUGAGACGUUGGGUUAAGUCCCCUAACGAGCGAAACCCUUGUUUUUAGUUGCCAUCGGGUUGUGCCGGGCACUCUAGAAAGACUGCCGUCGUCAAGACGGAGGAAGGUGGGGACGACGUCAAGUCAUCAUGGCCCUUAUGCCCCGGGCUGCACACGUGCUACAAUGGUCGGUACAAACGGAAGCGAAGCCGAGAGGUGAAGCGAAUC